Long non-coding RNA from Engraulis encrasicolus (European anchovy), 314 nucleotides. RefSeq lists it as uncharacterized. The record is from RefSeq and is a predicted model, not a curated record. NCBI's taxonomy places the organism in Eukaryota, Metazoa, Chordata, Actinopteri, Clupeiformes, Engraulidae. The transcript is spliced from 3 exons.
UUACGGGGCGGCACCUUUGUGGACCGAGUGGAAAAGAAGGACGACCACAUCCUCAUGUACCUGUCAAAGGUUGCCAAGAAGAGGGAGCUGGUAUACCAGAUGACCAUCCGACAGGAUCUGCCAGUGAACAACCUGAAGCCAGCAGUGGCCAAGGUGUACGACUACUACACACCCAGUGACCAGGCUGAAGUGGAGUACUCCUACCCAUGUGCAUAGAAGAAGGACCUGACCUGUUGACCUGUGUGUGUGUGUGUGUGUGUGUGUGUGUGUGUGUGUGUGUGUGUGUGUGUGUGUGUGUGUGUGUGUGUGUGUGU